GUCGGGAAUAGCUCAGUUGGUAAARCAAAAGGACUGAAAAUCCUCGUGU
This 49-nucleotide transfer RNA is filed under the name Chlorophytum andongense. Its description in RNAcentral is "partial tRNA-Phe". Lineage: Eukaryota; Viridiplantae; Streptophyta; Magnoliopsida; Asparagales; Asparagaceae. The record is from RNAcentral.